AAUAGAUACCCAGGUAGUCCACGCCGUAAACGAUGAGUGCUAAGUGUUAGAGGGGAUUGACCCUUUAGUGCUGCAGCUAACGCAUUAAGCACUCCGCCUGGGGAGUACGGCCGCAAGGCUGAAACUCAAAGGAAUUGACGGGGGGCCCGCACAAGCGGUGGAGCAUGUGGUUUAAUUCGAAGCAACGCGAAGAACCUUACCAGGUCUUGACAUCCCGCUGACCGGUCUGGAGACAGGCCUUUCCCUUAUGGGACAGCGGUGACAGGUGGUGCAUGGUUGUCGUCAGCUCGUGUCGUGAGAUGUUGGGUUAAGUCCCGCAACGAGCGCAACCCUGUCCUUAGUUGUCAGCAUUGAGUUGGGCACUCUAAGGAGACUGCCGGCUAGGAAGUCGGAGGAAGGUGGGGAUGACGUCAAAUCAUCAUGCCCCUUAUGACCUGGGCUACACACGUGCUACAAUGGGCGGUACAAAGGGCAGCGAACCCGCGAGGGGGAGCGAAUCCCGAAAAACGCCGCUCUCAGUUCGGAUUGC
RNAcentral lists this ribosomal RNA (529 nucleotides) under uncultured bacterium. RNAcentral describes it as "bacterial SSU rRNA". It matches the Rfam family "Bacterial small subunit ribosomal RNA", at positions 777 to 1301 of the family's 1533-position model. The record is from RNAcentral.